GGGUUCGUAGCUCAGCCAGGUAGAGUACCGGACUUUUAAUCCGGCUGUCCGGGGUCCGAAUCCCCGCGAACCCGCUA
RNAcentral lists this transfer RNA (77 nucleotides) under Candidatus Nitrosotenuis uzonensis. RNAcentral's name for it is "Thaumarchaeota archaeon N4 tRNA-Lys". It matches the Rfam family "tRNA". From Rfam's summary of the family: Transfer RNA (tRNA) molecules are approximately 80 nucleotides in length. Their secondary structure includes four short double-helical elements and three loops (D, anti-codon, and T loops). Further hydrogen bonds mediate the characteristic L-shaped molecular structure. tRNAs have two regions of fundamental functional importance: the anti-codon, which is responsible for specific mRNA codon recognition, and the 3' end, to which the tRNAs corresponding amino acid is attached (by aminoacyl-tRNA synthetases). tRNAs cope with the degeneracy of the genetic code in two manners: having more than one tRNA (with a specific anti-codon) for a particular amino acid; and 'wobble' base-pairing, i.e. permitting non-standard base-pairing at the 3rd anti-codon position. RNAcentral also lists the same sequence under 1 other name. The record is from RNAcentral. Lineage: Archaea; Thermoproteati; Nitrososphaerota.